AUCGCUUCUUGGCCUUUUGGCUAAGAUCGAGUGUAUGUUUAUAUGUGUAUAUAUAUGUAUGUAUGCAUAUAUACAUGUGUGUAUAUAUAUGCAUAUGUGUGUACAUACAUGCAUAUGUACAUAUUCUAU
Molecule: small nuclear RNA, 129 nt
Filed under: Panthera leo (lion)
Lineage: Eukaryota; Metazoa; Chordata; Mammalia; Carnivora; Felidae
Also listed under: 1 other name
Description: U2 spliceosomal RNA (ENSPLOG00000005148.1)
Rfam family: U2 spliceosomal RNA
About the family: U2 is a small nuclear RNA (snRNA) component of the spliceosome (involved in pre-mRNA splicing). Complementary binding between U2 snRNA (in an area lying towards the 5' end but 3' to hairpin I) and the branchpoint sequence (BPS) of the intron results the bulging out of an unpaired adenosine, on the BPS, which initiates a nucleophilic attack at the intronic 5' splice site, thus starting the first of two transesterification reactions that mediate splicing.
Source: Rfam by way of RNAcentral